Molecule: unclassified non-coding RNA, 252 nt
Filed under: uncultured Caryophanales bacterium
Lineage: Bacteria; Bacillati; Bacillota; Bacilli; Caryophanales
Description: uncultured Bacillales bacterium contains 16S-23S intergenic spacer region
Rfam family: Bacterial small subunit ribosomal RNA
Source: RNAcentral
UACGUAGGGGGCAAGCGUUGUCCGGAAUUAUUGGGCGUAAAGCGCGCGCAGGCGGUGGUUUAAGUCUUGUGUUUAAUUCCAAAGCUCAACUUUGGAUCGCAUGGGAAACUGGGAGACUUGAGUACAGAAGAGGAGAGUGGAAUUCCACGUGUAGCGGUGAAAUGCGUAGAUAUGUGGAGGAACACCAGUGGCGAAGGCGACUCUCUGGUCUGUAACUGACGCUGAGGCGCGAAAGCGUGGGGAGCAAACAGG